This 494-nucleotide ribosomal RNA is filed under the name uncultured bacterium. Its description in RNAcentral is "partial 16S ribosomal RNA". It matches the Rfam family "Bacterial small subunit ribosomal RNA", at positions 28 to 507 of the family's 1533-position model. The record is from RNAcentral.
GACGAACGCUGGCGGCGUGCUUAACACAUGCAAGUCGAACGGUGAAGCGCCUUCCUUUUUGGUGGGUGUGGAUGAGUGGCGAACGGGUGAGUAACACGUGAGUAACCUGCCCCCUUCUUCUGGAUAACCGCAUGAAAGUGUGGCUAAUACGGGAUAUUCUGGGUCUGUCGCAUGAUGGGUCUGGGAAAGAUAUUGUUUCGGUGGGGGAUGGGCUCGCGGCCUAUCAGCUUGUUGGUGGGGUGAUGGCCUACCAAGGCGGUGACGGGUAGCCGGCCUGAGAGGGUGGACGGUCACACUGGGACUGAGACACGGCCCAGACUCCUACGGGAGGCAGCAGUGGGGAAUAUUGCACAAUGGCCGCAAGCCUGAUGCAGCGACGCCGCGUGAGGGAUGGAGGCCUUCGGGUUGUGAACCUCUUUCGCCAGUGAAGCAGGCCUGCCUCGUUUGUGGGUGGGUUGACGGUAGCUGGAGAAGAAGCGCCGGCUAACUACGUG